UGAGGUAGUAGGUUGUAUGGUUCAGAAUUACACCGUUCAGGCGAAACUGUACAACUUGCUAACUUUCC
This 68-nucleotide microRNA precursor is filed under the name Triops cancriformis. RNAcentral's name for it is "let-7 stem-loop (tcf-let-7)". Its record names the gene tcf-let-7. Lineage: Eukaryota; Metazoa; Arthropoda; Branchiopoda; Notostraca; Triopsidae. The record is from miRBase by way of RNAcentral.